GUGCAGCAGGCGAGAAUAGUCUACAAUGGACGAAAGUCUGAUAGUGCGACGCCGUGUGUGCGAUUAAUUCCUUCGGGAUGUAAAGCACUUUUCUAUGGGAUAAAAGCUCUUUAGGUUAAUAGCUUAUUGAGACGGAUAUUAUUAUAGGAAUAAGCUCCGGCUAACUCCGUGCCAGCAGCCGCGGUAAUACGGAAGGAGCGAGCGUUGUCCGGAUUUACUAGGCGUAAAGGGCUAGUAGGCGACUAAUUAAGUUAUAUGUUAAAUCCCACGGCUCAACUGUGGUCCUGCAUGUAAUACUGGUUAGAUAGAGUACUGUAGAGGAAGGCAGAAUUCCUGGAGUAGCGGUGGAAUGCGCAGAUAUCAGGAAGAAUACCAAAAGCGAAGGCAGCCUUCUGGGCAGUUACUGACGCUGAAUAGCGAAGGUGUGGGUAGCGAACAGGAUUAGAUACCCGUGUAGU
This 458-nucleotide ribosomal RNA is filed under the name uncultured microorganism. RNAcentral's name for it is "bacterial SSU rRNA". It matches the Rfam family "Bacterial small subunit ribosomal RNA", at positions 346 to 794 of the family's 1533-position model. The record is from RNAcentral.